Molecule: non-coding RNA, 1767 nt
Organism: Dermacentor andersoni
Lineage: Eukaryota; Metazoa; Arthropoda; Arachnida; Ixodida; Ixodidae
Source: RefSeq, a predicted model, not a curated record
GGUUCACUCUUCAAAGCGUCGUUUUACUCUCGCAAAAUGUCGAGGAGAGUGAAAUGCAUUGUUCACUCUGUCACCAAGGAGAGAGUGAAAUGUGCUUUUCACUCUCCCCUUCAGAGAGAGGGAGUGAAAAGACUCUUGCGACAAUAGAAAAGAGAGACUCUUGCGGCAAUAGAAAACAAAACGUAGCGUAAUCUUCUGCUUCAACUGUAGGUGGCUGGCCCCGAACAUGGCAAUGUAUCAUUCAUGCACGCUGAGCAAAGAACACAUCGUUUUGCUUCUAACAGAACAGGCCGCCGCAGUUCAAAGGAACGCGUAGCGAGCGCUCUACUUUUUCACUCGGAGUGGCUCCAACGCGCGCGCGCGCGCUCAAGAUCGCGGAACAACACAGCACGGGAGAAAGAAGAUCCGUUCAGCGAGCAAAGGCCAGCCGAGGGAGAUCGUGUGUCUGCCAUCUCGCGUCGCCACGAAAACACGACAGUCGUUCGUCAUGCCUUGGAUAUAACAACAAAUCCUCCACGGCACCCGCUUUAUAUAACGCAAGAAGGCAGCUGCAAGGACACGAGGAUGUGAAAGAGCCAGUGCAGCGCGACUUCACGUAGUGCAGAGGAGCCAAUGCCAAAAAAUCAAAAUACAUUGGCAUGUUAUUUGGACAAGAAAACUAGGACAACCCAGGACAUGCAUUUCUCAGCACCCAGUCAACUGCCAAAAGUGACUCAAACACAGGCCACCAGUAAGUGGACAUCAGUUGCAAUUUCACAUUAUGCAGUUGGCGGCUGCCUUGUACGGAGGCUUUUUUUUUUUUAAUGAGAUGGUGAUGUCGUUCUAAUGUACAUUUUGACCACAAAGGUGCGAUCAUGUCUCACAGAGGCAUAUAUGGUUGCUAUUCUCUGCGAGGGACGUGUUCUCGUGUUCGUGAAGCAUUUGUGUUUGGCAGUAUUGUUGCCCAAUGAGUCGGAUAUAAACACUGUAACUCGCCACUGCCGGCAAGUAGUUGCGAGAAACACAAUAUAUUAUGACGCUGCAAAGUUACUUCAUGAAUUCGAAGGAAAGUUUUGCAGCAGGAAAAAAGGUUGCUAUUCCAGGUAAACAUGUCGUUUUCUCACAAGUUAUUUAACCAAACUGUGGAUGCGUGAAAUUCGUGACUUAUGAAUCGAUUUUAAUUCAUCCUUUAGUAAUGCUUCUAAAAGAGACUAGAAAUAGCAUGUGACUACCUCUGCAAUCAGCAGACCAUACAUUUACAGUCAUAAGUGGCAGUUCCAUGCAGUCUCGCACUUUAUAUAACCUUUCCUUUCAGCAACAUUGGAACUGGUGGCUGCGUUUUCAGAAGGAGAAGUGCACUUGACACUGUAUAUGUAUGUGUGAAUUCGGUUUUCUUUGUAUGUGUCGGCUCACUGACAAACAGUGCAAAAAUCUGUUGUACCAUGAGCCUGACGACGCCUUCUGCUGCUAGAAAUGCGGCACUUCGUAUUUUAUAGUACUGCAUGACAUUUAAAUCAAAGCUACCACAUAAAAUGAUUAAGAAAACUAACCGCUGUUAUAGCUGUUUUCCUCAAAGAACGCUUGUCCUUUAUGGGCUGUGUUAAUCUGAGCUCUCCACCGAUGUUUCAGUAGUAUUAUCCCUUAAUGAGUGAGAGAUGGGGGCAAUUGAUCGUGUUAGUGUUUAAGUGGUGUCCUAAGUAUGUGUUCCAAAAAAGUUGUCUAGAUUACUUUAUUGUGUAGUGUAAAGCUUAUGAAACCAUCAGCAACUACUGAGUUGCUAACACGCAU